GAGGUUGUAGCUCAGGGGUAGAGUGCUUGCCUAGCAUGCAUGAGGCGCUGGGUUCGAUCCCUGGGACCACA
RNAcentral lists this transfer RNA (71 nucleotides) under Ictidomys tridecemlineatus (thirteen-lined ground squirrel). Its description in RNAcentral is "Spermophilus tridecemlineatus (thirteen-lined ground squirrel) tRNA". It matches the Rfam family "tRNA". From Rfam's summary of the family: Transfer RNA (tRNA) molecules are approximately 80 nucleotides in length. Their secondary structure includes four short double-helical elements and three loops (D, anti-codon, and T loops). Further hydrogen bonds mediate the characteristic L-shaped molecular structure. tRNAs have two regions of fundamental functional importance: the anti-codon, which is responsible for specific mRNA codon recognition, and the 3' end, to which the tRNAs corresponding amino acid is attached (by aminoacyl-tRNA synthetases). tRNAs cope with the degeneracy of the genetic code in two manners: having more than one tRNA (with a specific anti-codon) for a particular amino acid; and 'wobble' base-pairing, i.e. permitting non-standard base-pairing at the 3rd anti-codon position. The record is from Rfam by way of RNAcentral. Lineage: Eukaryota; Metazoa; Chordata; Mammalia; Rodentia; Sciuridae.